This 73-nucleotide transfer RNA is filed under the name Pseudobacter sp. Its description in RNAcentral is "tRNA-Thr". It matches the Rfam family "tRNA". From Rfam's summary of the family: Transfer RNA (tRNA) molecules are approximately 80 nucleotides in length. Their secondary structure includes four short double-helical elements and three loops (D, anti-codon, and T loops). The record is from RNAcentral. Lineage: Bacteria; Pseudomonadati; Bacteroidota; Chitinophagia; Chitinophagales; Chitinophagaceae.
GCCAACUUAGCUCAGCUGGUAGAGCGCUUCACUCGUAAUGCAGAGGUCGUCGGUUCGAGUCCGAUAGUUGGCU